This 194-nucleotide ribosomal RNA is filed under the name Mucochytrium quahogii. Its description in RNAcentral is "labyrinthulid quahog parasite QPX partial Archaeal large subunit ribosomal RNA". It matches the Rfam family "Bacterial large subunit ribosomal RNA", at positions 2451 to 2643 of the family's 2925-position model. The record is from RNAcentral. Lineage: Eukaryota; Bigyra; Thraustochytrida; Thraustochytriidae.
AAGAGGAAAAAGUUACCGCAGGGAUAACAGCGUUAUUUCUUCUAAGAGAUCUUAUUGAGGAAGAAGUUUGCGACCUCGAUGUUGGAUUAUAGAAACUUUAUGGUGCAGCAGCUAUAAUUGUGAGACUGUUCGUCUUUUAAUUCUAUACAUGAUCUGAGUUAAAACCGGCGUGAGCUAGGUUGGUUUCUAUCUUU